AGGGCUGCACCCAUGGCAUAUGGAGUUUCCCAGGCUAGGGGUUGAAUCAGAGCUACAGCUGCCGGCCUCCACCACAGCCAUAGCCACAGCAGAUCUGAGCCAUGUCUGCGGCCUACACCACAGCUCAAGGCAACGCUGGAUCCUUAACCCACUGAGCGAGGCCAGGGAUCGAACCCAAAACCUCGUGGUUCCUAGUCAGAUUCGUUUCCACUGUGCCACGACAGAAACGCUUUUUCUUUUACUCUUAGCUGGUUCUUUUACUCCAAGUCUGAGGGCUACCCUCUAGAAGCUGGAAACUGGACCUGCAGCAGCCGGCUCUGAGGUCACCUUCCUCUUGCCAUCUUAAGCAGCAUCCCUUGGCCAAGUUCAUGUUCUGUUCCUCUACCUGCAGUGUCACACCUUGGAGCUGCCCCGCUGGAGUUAAAAACAUCACUCUUAGAGAAGGGUCUUCUGUUCCUAAAUAGGCCAGGUCACCCCUGCCUCAGGACCUUUGUACAUGCUGCACUUUCUUCCUGGAAUAUUCUUUCCCUGUAUCUUUGCAUGGCUAUCUGCUUAUUCUGGUCUAGGUCAAGUGUCACCUCUCAGAGAGGCCUUAAGUAGUCCCUGCCCUGAUCCCUCUAGUGGGAUUCACAUUCAGCUAGAUCAUUUUCUUCCCAGAACUCUUUGUUGUCUGUCUCCCAGAGGCCCUGGUCUAUUUUGGUCAUUGCUGUAUCCCCAGCACCUACAUCACUGCCUCGCACAUGGUAGGUGCACAAUAAUUAUUUAUUGAAUGAAUGAAUGACUGAGCUCUUUAACUCUUCAUGGCUACACUGUAAAGCAGGGACAGGAGGGGAAGCAACAGCUCAAGGUCACAAAGCCAGGAAGGGGCAGGAAGGAAGGCGGGGACCAGGUGCCCUGCUUCCAAGCUUCCUGUGGUCCCCAGAUGGGAACAGGGGAGACCUGUGGACCUCUAGGCCCCUUCAGCCACCCAGAAGGGGUCAAGUGUGGAGUGAGGCUCAGGGAACGGCUUCUGAAUGUGGUAAGAGUGAGCCAGCCAGGCAGCCAGGAGGCGGGACUGUUUAUAGGAGCUGGAGACCAUCACCAUGACAACUGGACAGCCUACAGCUUCCAGCUGUCACCAGGGAUGCAGAUUUGCAUUUGGCUAGGAUGCAAUGAGGACAAUGGGGACAGGAAGUGACAGAGGGGUGGGGACCCCAAACACCCAGUCUGGGAGGAGAUUUCUGUUCUGAGAGUUGCCAAAAAACAGAAGGACCUGGUGAUACCACAUAAGUGUGUGUGUGUGUGUGUGUGUGUGUGGAGGAGGAGAGUCUGGGCUAUGUGGAGCCAGGAUGCUGGGUUUGAAUCCCUGCUCUGCCACUUCUGCAUUGUGACAUCUUAUGCAAGUGAUUUAAGUCAGUGCCUUGGUCCCCUCCAAGGUAAACUGGGGAGAGACACAGUCCCUUUUAGGGCUGCUGUGAUGGUUAAGGGAGAUAAUAUUCUUACCUCGCUUAGGAUGUACCUUGCUUGUUUACUAGGUUCUAGAAAUCAACUUACAUCUGACCUUUCGGUUGCCUUCUUUCUGAGUAGUGGGAAAUUUGGUCUCAGUGAUUCUCAGGGGUCCCCACUUCCCUGACUUUUUUUUUUGUCUUUUUAGGGCUGCACUCAUGGCAUAUGGAACUUCCUAAGGUAGGGGUCAAAUCAGAGCUGCAGCUGCCAGCCUACACCACAGCCACAGCAACACCAGAUCUGAGCCACGUCUUCACCCUACACCACAGCUCAUGGCAACGCUGGAUCCUUAACACACUGAGUGAGGCCAGGGAUUGAACCCGCAUCCUCAUGUGAAAAAAGCAGACAAAAAUCUCUGCCUCGCCUGUGUAGCUGGAAUUUUAGCAGGGUAGACAUUAAAUAUGAUAAAAAGUUCACACAACAGGCCAGUAGUUGAAGCUCGAAUUCGAACCCAAGUCUCUCUGCCUCCUGAGCUUUUCUUCCAUUCCACAUUGUUGGGACUCUGGACAAGAGGGUCCUUGGAGAUAAUAGACAAAAGACCUGAGUCGCAUUGUGGCCACUAUUUUGCUGCGUGACCUUGGUCAAGUCCUUUUUCCAACAUGACCUUCAGUUUCUCCAUCUGUAAAAUGGGGAACAUAGUAGUGCCCACCAUCUGGUUGUCAUGAAGCUUAAAUGAAAAAAGCCAGGUAAGUAAAGUGCUUAGGACAGGGCUGGGCAGGUAGCAGUGAACGUGAGUUUUAUGAUCACGGCUGAUUUUUGGAGGAGAGGAAGGGGGUCUGUGGCUUCUUCCUUGCCUGCAGCCACCGUGCUCCGGGCCUCCCCACUGAUCACAGCUUCCCAGCAGCCCUCAGGCGGCACCUUCAUCCAUCUCCUGAUAGAUGCGCAGACCUGGCUCGCUUACCCGGGAAGCAGGCACUUAAGGAGCUGCUUCCCCAGUUUCUCUUUUAAUUUUCAUUAUAUAAAUUUCACAUUUCCUGGAAUAGAGAUCUUGAACGGCUGGACUCAUUUGGAAAUCGAGUCAGCAAAGGCCUCAUUUAUAUUAAUGGGGCCGCUGGUCUGGGUCUCAGGCGGGCAGAGACAAGGAUGGAUGGUAGCAAUUCCCAGCGGAGCUGCUCCAGGCUGAGCUCUCGGACACCGGCUUGGAGGAGCGAAUGCCUCUGGGUUUAGCUGAGAUGAUUCCCGGUUUGGGAGAGGCUCCUGGAUGCAAGGACUGUGCUGUUCCCUGACUUAAACCCCUCUGUGGCUGCCCACUGCUCUCUGAGUAAUCCUGCUUGACCAAGUCCUAUAAGUUGGGUCCCUGCUGAUGCCUGCCACCUCCUAUCUCCUACCCUUCCCCUCACUCAUCCCUCUGCAGCCACGCUGGCCUCCUAAGCGUGUUCCUACCUCAGUGCCUUUGCACUUGCUAUGCCUUCUGCCAGAAGAGCUCUCCCAGCUCUUCUGGUGACUUGCUCUGCCUGUCGGCCAGAUCUUAUCUCACAGUCACCACCUCUGGGGGGGUCUUCCCUGACUGCCUGUCUGGAGUGACACUCCCCAGUCAGCCUAUAUCACCACCUGUUCAUUUUCUGCAUAGCGCUGAGCAGUACAUGUAUCUUCUUGUUUACUAGUGUGUUUUUUCCACAAUUAAAAAAAAAAUUGGAGCAAAAAGAACCUGCAGCUUCUGUCUUUCUCCGGGAUCACUCACUUUGGGGGAAGCCCUCAGCCAUGUCGUGAGGACACUCAAAAAAUGCUGUGGAGAGAUUCAUGUGGGGAAAAAAACCAAUGCCUCCUGCCAAUAGCCCCACACACCUACCUGCCAGCUGCAUGGGGGAGCCAUCUAGGAAGAGGGUCCCCCAGCCCCAGUUUGGCCUUCGGAGGACUAUGGCCCUGGCCAAUAUUUUGACUGCAGCCUCAUGGGAGAGUCUGUUCUAGAACCAGGCAGCUAAAUGACUCCCAAAUCCCUAAGCCGCAGAAACUGGGUGAGAUAAUAAAUGCUGUUCUAAGCU
This 3467-nucleotide long non-coding RNA is filed under the name Sus scrofa (pig). Its description in RNAcentral is "lncRNA (ENSSSCG00015002747.1)". Lineage: Eukaryota; Metazoa; Chordata; Mammalia; Artiodactyla; Suidae. The record is from RNAcentral.